UGUCCUAUAUUUAUGUCAUAUUAACCCGGGUUCGAUCCUUUCCUUUGCAUUUUUUUUUUACGAAAAAAUGAAUGAGAUGACGUGGCAACUUCGGACUAUCUGAUUGGACGAUUUUUUAUGCCUACGUGGACACUUUAAAAAGAGGUUAUAUCCCCCUUUUAGUAUAGUAUAGAUUUAGUUUAAAGUUAGUUGUAACAUUAAGAAGAUAUUAAAUUAUCAAUAUAUAAAGCAGAUGGUUGAUUUAUAUUAUUAAAAAUAUUUUGUUUCCACUUUUAAUCUUUUGAUCUAAACAUAUAUAUAGAAAAUAUUUUGGUUUUUUUAUUUUAUUUUUUUUAUUUAUUAUAUUAUUUAAGGUAAAAUAUUUUAAAAAUUAUCUUCUUUAAAAAUAUAUUCAUUAUUAGUUAUUAAAUAAAAUAUCGAAAUUAUAUAUAUACAUAUAUAUACAAUUUCCACAUUUUAGUAGUUUAAGAAAAUAUUAUGAUAAGAAAAAAGGAACUUAAAAGCAAAAAAUUAUGAAACAAAAAGAAAAAUAAAAUAAAAAAAUUAUAAUAAUGGCAUUAUACAUAAUAUUUUCAAUUCAUUAAGAAUACUUUUGUAAUUGACUACUCUAAAAUUAACAUGAAAACUACACAUAAGAAACUGACUUCUCAAAUAAUAUUAUAGAGAUAUAAAUAUAUAUUUUUUUGAAAUGGCUUAGGGCAUUAUAAUAUGUUAGACCGGCACUGUUGGCCGCUCAGAGAUCUCCUGCGGUUGCUGGAGGAUGAGAGUCUGAUGUCCGGGAACGGCAAGCUACGGCUCGAUCCUCCGGUAUAAACAGAAUCGUAUAUAAGGAGGUGGUGAUGGAGAUUCAUAGAAACUGAGAUUCUCUGUUUCUUUGUUGAGGGAAAAAUCGAAAAAGAUUUCACAGCCUGCGUUGGGAAAAACCUCCUCCAAGACCAAAGAAGAUACCAAAGAACUUUUCAGAAUCGAAUGAAUGUAAGUUCCCAGCUUUCUUUGUUGCUUAACAUUUUCAUUAUUGGUUGCCGACUCUUUUUUCCUGGAUUGUGGCUAGGAGAGGAAGUAACAACUGGCUCUAUGAGUUAAUGACGUCCAGGAGGCUGGGGAGACAUGAUCAAGGUGUGAUCAUUGGUUUCAUCACUUUAGAGUCCACAAAUUCAUGUUCUAUCAACUUUGUGUUCUACUUUUGAAUAUUUUCAGUUGUAAAACGGAAGAACAAAUAUAGCAAAUGUGCCAAUUUUUAGUGAAUGAAGCUAUUUUACUUGUGUUUCUUAAUAUUCUUUUCUUUGUUUUUGUAAAGAAGACAAGUGGAGUUUUUAUUACCAGAGCUAAUUAUAAUCUCCAGC
Molecule: long non-coding RNA, 1343 nt
Filed under: Brassica rapa (field mustard)
Lineage: Eukaryota; Viridiplantae; Streptophyta; Magnoliopsida; Brassicales; Brassicaceae
Description: long non-coding RNA (BRAP_LNC005255)
Source: RNAcentral